UUAAGCGACUAAGCGUACACGGUGGAUGCCCUGGCAGUCAGAGGCGAUGAAGGACGUGCUAAUCUGCGAUAAGCGUCGGUGAGGUGAUAUGAACCGUUAUAACCGGCGAUUUCCGAAUGGGGAAACCCAGUGUGUUUCGACACACUAUCAUUAACUGAAUCCAUAGGUUAAUGAGGCGAACCGGGGGAACUGAAACAUCUAAGUACCCCGAGGAAAAGAAAUCAACCGAGAUUCCCCCAGUAGCGGCGAGCGAACGGGGAGGAGCCCAGAGCCUGAAUCAGUGUGUGUGUUAGUGGAAGCGUCUGGAAAGGCGCGCGAUACAGGGUGACAGCCCCGUACACAAAAAUGCACAUGCUGUGAGCUCGAUGAGUAGGGCGGGACACGUGGUAUCCUGUCUGAAUAUGGGGGGACCAUCCUCCAAGGCUAAAUACUCCUGACUGACCGAUAGUGAACCAGUACCGUGAGGGAAAGGCGAAAAGAACCCCGGCGAGGGGAGUGAAAAAGAACCUGAAACCGUGUACGUACAAGCAGUGGGAGCCUCUUAAUGGGGUGACUGCGUACCUUUUGUAUAAUGGGUCAGCGACUUAUAUUCUGUAGCAAGGUUAACCGAAUAGGGGAGCCGAAGGGAAACCGAGUCUUAACUGGGCGUUAAGUUGCAGGGUAUAGACCCGAAACCCGGUGAUCUAGCCAUGGGCAGGUUGAAGGUUGGGUAACACUAACUGGAGGACCGAACCGACUAAUGUUGAAAAAUUAGCGGAUGACUUGUGGCUGGGGGUGAAAGGCCAAUCAAACCGGGAGAUAGCUGGUUCUCCCCGAAAGCUAUUUAGGUAGCGCCUCGUGAAUUCAUCUCCGGGGGUAGAGCACUGUUUCGGCAAGGGGGUCAUCCCGACUUACCAACCCGAUGCAAACUGCGAAUACCGGAGAAUGUUAUCACGGGAGACACACGGCGGGUGCUAACGUCCGUCGUGAAGAGGGAAACAACCCAGACCGCCAGCUAAGGUCCCAAAGUCAUGGUUAAGUGGGAAACGAUGUGGGAAGGCCCAGACAGCCAGGAUGUUGGCUUAGAAGCAGCCAUCAUUUAAAGAAAGCGUAAUAGCUCACUGGUCGAGUCGGCCUGCGCGGAAGAUGUAACGGGGCUAAACCAUGCACCGAAGCUGCGGCAGCGACACUAUGUGUUGUUGGGUAGGGGAGCGUUCUGUAAGCCUGUGAAGGUGGCCUGUGAGGGUUGCUGGAGGUAUCAGAAGUGCGAAUGCUGACAUAAGUAACGAUAAAGCGGGUGAAAAGCCCGCUCGCCGGAAGACCAAGGGUUCCUGUCCAACGUUAAUCGGGGCAGGGUGAGUCGACCCCUAAGGCGAGGCCGAAAGGCGUAGUCGAUGGGAAACAGGUUAAUAUUCCUGUACUUGGUGUUACUGCGAAGGGGGGACGGAGAAGGCUAUGUUGGCCGGGCGACGGUUGUCCCGGUUUAAGCGUGUAGGCUGGUUUUCCAGGCAAAUCCGGAAAAUCAAGGCUGAGGCGUGAUGACGAGGCACUACGGUGCUGAAGCGACAAAUGCCCUGCUUCCAGGAAAAGCCUCUAAGCAUCAGGUAACAUCAAAUCGUACCCCAAACCGACACAGGUGGUCAGGUAGAGAAUACCAAGGCGCUUGAGAGAACUCGGGUGAAGGAACUAGGCAAAAUGGUGCCGUAACUUCGGGAGAAGGCACGCUGAUAUGUAGGUGAAGCGACUUGCUCGUGGAGCUGAAAUCAGUCGAAGAUACCAGCUGGCUGCAACUGUUUAUUAAAAACACAGCACUGUGCAAACACGAAAGUGGACGUAUACGGUGUGACGCCUGCCCGGUGCCGGAAGGUUAAUUGAUGGGGUUAGCGGCAACGCGAAGCUCUUGAUCGAAGCCCCGGUAAACGGCGGCCGUAACUAUAACGGUCCUAAGGUAGCGAAAUUCCUUGUCGGGUAAGUUCCGACCUGCACGAAUGGCGUAAUGAUGGCCAGGCUGUCUCCACCCGAGACUCAGUGAAAUUGAACUCGCUGUGAAGAUGCAGUGUACCCGCGGCAAGACGGAAAGACCCCGUGAACCUUUACUAUAGCUUGACACUGAACAUUGAGCCUUGAUGUGUAGGAUAGGUGGGAGGCUUUGAAGUGUGGACGCCAGUCUGCAUGGAGCCGACCUUGAAAUACCACCCUUUAAUGUUUGAUGUUCUAACGUUGGCCCCUAACCCGGGUUGCGGACAGUGUCUGGUGGGUAGUUUGACUGGGGCGGUCUCCUCCUAAAGAGUAACGGAGGAGCACGAAGGUUGGCUAAUCCUGGUCGGACAUCAGGAGGUUAGUGCAAUGGCAUAAGCCAGCUUGACUGCGAGCGUGACGGCGCGAGCAGGUGCGAAAGCAGGUCAUAGUGAUCCGGUGGUUCUGAAUGGAAGGGCCAUCGCUCAACGGAUAAAAGGUACUCCGGGGAUAACAGGCUGAUACCGCCCAAGAGUUCAUAUCGACGGCGGUGUUUGGCACCUCGAUGUCGGCUCAUCACAUCCUGGGGCUGAAGUAGGUCCCAAGGGUAUGGCUGUUCGCCAUUUAAAGUGGUACGCGAGCUGGGUUUAGAACGUCGUGAGACAGUUCGGUCCCUAUCUGCCGUGGGCGCUGGAGAACUGAGGGGGGCUGCUCCUAGUACGAGAGGACCGGAGUGGACGCAUCACUGGUGUUCGGGUUGUCAUGCCAAUGGCACUGCCCGGUAGCUAAAUGCGGAAGAGAUAAGUGCUGAAAGCAUCUAAGCACGAAACUUGCCCCGAGAUGAGUUCUCCCUGA
This 2790-nucleotide ribosomal RNA is filed under the name Escherichia coli SWW33. RNAcentral's name for it is "bacterial LSU rRNA". It matches the Rfam family "Bacterial large subunit ribosomal RNA". Lineage: Bacteria; Pseudomonadati; Pseudomonadota; Gammaproteobacteria; Enterobacterales; Enterobacteriaceae. The record is from RNAcentral.